GAGGGUGUAGCUCAGUGGUAGAGUGUGUGCUUAGCAUGCACGAGGUCCUGGGUUCUAUCCCCAGUACCUCCA
Molecule: transfer RNA, 72 nt
Filed under: Camelus ferus (Wild Bactrian camel)
Lineage: Eukaryota; Metazoa; Chordata; Mammalia; Artiodactyla; Camelidae
Rfam family: tRNA
About the family: Transfer RNA (tRNA) molecules are approximately 80 nucleotides in length. Their secondary structure includes four short double-helical elements and three loops (D, anti-codon, and T loops).
Source: Rfam by way of RNAcentral